RNAcentral lists this ribosomal RNA (253 nucleotides) under uncultured bacterium. Its description in RNAcentral is "partial 16S ribosomal RNA". It matches the Rfam family "Bacterial small subunit ribosomal RNA", at positions 524 to 776 of the family's 1533-position model. The record is from RNAcentral.
UACGUAGGGGGCAAGCGUUAUCCGGAAUUACUGGGUGUAAAGGGUGCGUAGGCGGCACGCCAAGUCAGUUGUGAAACCCGUAGGCCCAACCUAUGGCUUGCAAUUGAAACUGGCGAGCUAGAGUACAGGAGAGGAAAGCGGAAUUCCUAGUGUAGCGGUGAAAUGCGUAGAUAUUAGGAAGAACACCGGUGGCGAAGGCGGCUUUCUGGACUGAAACUGACGCUGAGGCACGAAAGCGUGGGGAGCAAACAGG